UGUCGUUUCGCGAAAAGACAUCUUACCCCCCUAUCGUUUAGAAACCCCCACAUAAACACUUAAACUUCAUAACUAAAGCGGAAAUUGACCUGUAACCGGCCGUGCAACCUAGUGACGAUGGGUAUGCGAAAUUCCUUUGAAAAGAUCUUGAGUUUCAUUCUUAGGGAAAGAAAAAGCCGCUUCUCCCAUAAAUUAUAACUUUUUUGCCAUUAGUUUUCUUUCAUUUUAUCUGAUACACUGGAUAUCGUCCAUCAAAAACUAAUACUGUAAAAUUUGAUAUAGUUUGGAACAGGAGCUCAGCAAUUCGUGGGAAAUCAAAGCCACUCCUACGAUUCUCUUCCUCAGAGAUGGCAAAAUGGUAGACAAACUCAUAGGUGACAACAAACAAGAUCUCCAAAAGAAAACAAUGGCCAUUGCUGAAUCUUGUUCAGAUCUGACAACCCCAUGAUUGAGUUGCCUGUCUUCUGAAUGUCUAAGGCGUAUAUCAAUUUUCUUCAGCAAUUUUGAUACUCUAAAAUCGGAUCUCAGAGAAUAAGGAAUCCACUCAUAAGGGGAGUGGUCAUGCCGCUACAGAUGAGGAGAAGAAUAUGGCCUUCUGCCUCGAGAUUGAAGCUAUAGCUGAGGAGAUUGCCCAGAAACUUAUUCGUUUCCAUGAAGAAAUGAUGGUAAGAAUUCCUAAACGAAUUACCCCUUGAUUGUGCAACAAAAACCAAGCGCUUGAUUGCUGAAGUUGAAGAAGCGCUUGAUUGCUGAAGUUGAAGAAGCUCUUGACCAUGUCUACUUGAUGCAGUCCGAAGGGAUCAGCAGCAGCAGCAGUUCAUUCCGAUUCCAACUCCUCUCUCUCCCAUUUCUUGAUGUCUCCUUUUGCAAUGAUUUAUUUGCAUAUGUACUAUCAACUAUGUCCGCAAUCGAGACUAUGGUUAAUCAUUAUCAUGUAUGGGACCAUUUCCGUUCCUUGAUGAUAGUGUAUCUGACACCCGAUGAUACCUUGUUUGAUUGCCACAAUAUAUUCAUCAUCAUUAUCAUGCCA
This is a non-coding RNA of Coffea arabica (coffee), 1030 nucleotides long. Lineage: Eukaryota; Viridiplantae; Streptophyta; Magnoliopsida; Gentianales; Rubiaceae. The record is from RefSeq and is a predicted model, not a curated record.